Molecule: RNA transcript, 623 nt
Organism: Lactuca sativa (garden lettuce)
Lineage: Eukaryota; Viridiplantae; Streptophyta; Magnoliopsida; Asterales; Asteraceae
Gene name: cell division control protein 48 homolog C
Source: RefSeq, a predicted model, not a curated record
AAUACUAUCGGCUCCGCUUGUUUUCUUGCAACUCACGAGAGUUAUGCAUUGAAACCAAAAGAGAAGAUGACAGGUAGUUUUUCCUUGAUUUGAAACCGUAACUCUUCCACACUCUUGCAAGUUACAACUCACCGGACUUCUUGCUCUCUCCCUUUUUCGGGAUCAAUCGACCGUUCUCCGCCGACUCCUUAUUCUCUCUCCUCCCUGAGUCACCGGCGACAGACCACCACUGUUUUCCACUCCGUCGACUCCACAACGAAGAUAUGCAGCCUUCUUUUAUUUGCACACAACGACUUCUUUCUGCAUUCUUUCCUCCCAAGCGACGAAAUCGGCUACCCAACGACAAUAUCCGGCGAUUAACCCAAUCCAAGGAACCGGUGGUGGUGAAGCUCCACCGACCUAGUGACUGUCUCACCCUUCCACCGCCUAGUGUUACCGCCUGUGGCCACCACCAGCCACCACUGGAUUACCUGCUUCUUUGACUAGCCAAAAAAACGGAACAUCACAAGAACAAAAUGUUAGGUUUUUUUUUUCUAAUUUUUAUUGAAAUUGAAUUUGAAUUGUGUUGAAAUUGUUUGUUGUUUGUAUAUAUAUAUAUAUAUAUAUAUAUGUGUGUGUGUGUG